RNAcentral lists this ribosomal RNA (504 nucleotides) under uncultured bacterium. RNAcentral describes it as "partial 16S ribosomal RNA". It matches the Rfam family "Bacterial small subunit ribosomal RNA", at positions 30 to 523 of the family's 1533-position model. The record is from RNAcentral.
AUUGAACGCUGGCGGCAGGCUUAACACAUGCAAGUCAACGGUAGCAGGAAGAAGCUUGCUUCUUUGCUGACGAGUGGCGGACGGGUGAGUAAUGUAUGGGGAUCUGCCGAAUGGAGUGGGAUAACUGCUGGAAACGGUAGCUAAUACCGCAUGAUGUCGAAAGACCAAAGCAUGGGACCUUCGGGCCAUGCGCCAUUUGAUGAACCCAUAUGGGAUUAGCUAGCUGGUGGGGUAAUGGCCUACCAAGGCGACGAUCUCUAGCUGGUCCGAGAGGACGAUCAGCCACACUGGGACUGAGACACGGACCAGACUCCUACGGGAGGCAGCAGUGGGGAAUUUUGGACAAUGGGGGCAACCCUGAUCCAGCAAUGCCGCGUGAGUGAAGAAGGCCUUCGGGUUGUAAAGCUCUUUUGUCAGGGAAGAAACAGCAGCUCUAACACAGUCUGCGAAUGACGGUACCUGAAGAAUAAGCACCGGCUAACUACGUGCCAGCAGCCGCGGUAA